UGAACGCUGGCGGCGUGCCUAACACAUGCAAGUCGAACGGAGAAUAUACGCUUCAGAAGCUUCGGCAGAUGAUUGUAUAUUCUAGUGGCGGACGGGUGAGUAACGCGUGGGCAACCUGCCUCAUACUGGGGGAUAACAGCUGGAAACGACUGUUAAUACCGCAUAAGCGCACAGUGUCGCAUGACACAGUGUGAAAAACUCCGGUGGUAUGAGAUGGGCCCGCGUCAGAUUAGCCAGUUGGCGGGUAACGGCCCACCAAAGCGACGAUCUGUAGCCGGCCUGAGAGGGCGGACGGCCACAUUGGGACUGAGACACGGCCCAAACUCCUACGGGAGGCAGCAGUGGGGGAUAUUGCACAAUGGAGGAAACUCUGAUGCAGCGACGCCGCCGUGAGUGAAGAAGUAUUUCGGUAUGUAAAGCUCUAUCAGCAGGGAAGAAAGGCUCGUAAGAGAGAUGACGGUACCUGACUAAGAAGCCCCGGCUAACUACGUGCCAGCCGCCGC
Molecule: ribosomal RNA, 503 nt
Filed under: uncultured bacterium
Lineage: Bacteria
Description: bacterial SSU rRNA
Rfam family: Bacterial small subunit ribosomal RNA
Source: RNAcentral